This 29-nucleotide non-coding RNA is filed under the name Rattus norvegicus (Norway rat). Lineage: Eukaryota; Metazoa; Chordata; Mammalia; Rodentia; Muridae. The record is from RNAcentral.
UGGCUAACUUUUUACUUGCCUUUCGGAAU